This 372-nucleotide ribosomal RNA is filed under the name uncultured organism. Its description in RNAcentral is "bacterial SSU rRNA". It matches the Rfam family "Bacterial small subunit ribosomal RNA", at positions 526 to 896 of the family's 1533-position model. The record is from RNAcentral.
CGGAGGGGGCGAGCGUUAUUCGGAAUUAUUGGGCGUAAAGGGCGCGUAGGCGGCUUGUUAAGUCAAAGGUGAAAUCCCUCGGCUCAACUGAGGAACUGCCUUUGAAGCUAGCGAGCUUGAGGCCGGGAGGGGGUAGCGGAAUUCCCAGUGUAGCGGUGAAAUGCGUAGAUACUGGGAGGAACACCAGUGGCGAAGGCGGCUACCUGGACCGGUACUGACGCUGAGGCGCGAAAGCGUGGGUAGCAAACAGGAUUAGAUACCCUGGUAGUCCACGCUGUAAACGAUGGGUGCUCGGUGUCGCGGGUAUCGACCCCUGCGGUGCCUUAGCUAACGCGUUAAGCACCCCGCCUGGGGAGUACGGUCGCAAGGCUG